Equus caballus (horse) is the source of this 831-nucleotide non-coding RNA. The record is from RefSeq and is a predicted model, not a curated record. NCBI's taxonomy places the organism in Eukaryota, Metazoa, Chordata, Mammalia, Perissodactyla, Equidae.
CCGCCCUCACCUGAGCCGAAGGUUGGCCAUGAACUCGGGCAUGGAGACGGUGUCCAUCAGCACGAAGUCCGCCUUGCCGAACUCCAGGCUCUCCUGCUCCGCCAUGGCGCCGGCGCACGGGCUCAGGAAAUCUAGAAGCCCCCGACGACCUGGCUGGGCUCCAACUCUGUGGCUGCAUUUGAGAUGAGUAAACCAGACCGAAGGACCCUGCUAAAGGCCUGCUUCAGCUGCCAACCACCCACCCUGGCCAAGACAGAAGGGAAGACAGCUUGGUCCCCUCCCGAGGGAGCACACUGCCAUCAGAAAGCCACUCAAUCUCCCACACAGGCAGAGCUGGGUUGCAGUCUGUCCGUUAACAGCUCUCCUUCUCCAGAAGACACCACUCUGGAUCUCAGUGUCUCCUUUGUGGAAUAAGACCUCGACACUCUCCAGGACCCACCCAGACUUCAGUGGGUACUCCUGGAUCUUGGAUGCCCUGGGCUCUCUGGAGGAUUGGCGGCUGGAACGGGUUAGCCUGGAGGCGGUUAGGCUGUCCUUCUACAACCACAGGAGAGCCGUCACCAGCCGAGAGAUCCUUGAAGCAGUCAAGCAGAGAUCCUCUCGGAAGAGCUUUUGAGUAAAUGAAGUAGUUCUGAAUGGCCCUGUUCUUGAAAUGAUUGCACUUGUCAAAAACAAAAGUUGGAUAUCAGAAGGCUGAGUUGGAAGAACAAGGCAUCUGAGAUGUACCUGCUGCACCAGGAGUCCUGGUGCCCCACACCUGCUCUCUGGGUCCUGUGGUUUUAGCCUCUGAAUUAAUUUUGUGAAAAAAAGAAUAAAGUCAUUUUCUAUUGA